RNA transcript from Dermacentor andersoni, 2084 nucleotides. RefSeq lists it as uncharacterized. NCBI's taxonomy places the organism in Eukaryota, Metazoa, Arthropoda, Arachnida, Ixodida, Ixodidae. The record is from RefSeq and is a predicted model, not a curated record.
GGUUUUCAAUCCGUGAUCGUUGUGAGGGCAGUGGAGCACCAUUUGUCACCUGCCGCGCCUGCCGAAGUUUCCUGCGCAGCUACUAAAGUAUGACAGCUACAUCAAUUUCUUUUUUAAUUCGUUUGUGUAUUGAAAUUCGUUUUCUUCACAGGUGCCAGCAUGCCUAGACUGCGGGAGAAGCCGUACACGCGAAAGAGAGCGUCACUGGAAACAAAGACUAUAUUCGAGGACUUCGGAUCUCGCUCCGGCAGCCAGCAGUCAACGGCUCAAGAAUUCGCAAGUCUAGAACUGUGCAGUGGCGCAUAUACGCCGCACACUUGCAUUAACAUGUGCGGUCGUGCUGUCCCUGCAAACAUGUGUACGCCUUGUGAUGCUGGCCGCUGCACCGAGGCGACAUCGGAAGUUCAGGACGGUGGUUGUGACACUACGCGCAUUAAAGACAAUGUGCCUUGCUUCCCUGAUGGAUCGACUCCACGUGACUCUUCGGAUGGUUCACUUCGCUGUGAGAACGGAACAAGAUCCCUUAGGAGAGGUGUACGCACAAGUCAAUGUGGGUUCUCUGGUGAUCACUGUGCAGUCAUCAAGUUUCCAGAGAAGGGUGACUCUGUGGUUCUUGUACAUACCAAGCGGCUGCAUGGUGAUGUGUGCUUGUGGCCACAGGAUUUCAAGAAUGUUUCAUAUUUAGCAACAUGUGGAGCAUUUACAUUGUCCAUCUGGCAAGUUGUGCCAUGUGUGCCCACAGACACAUUCAAAGCACAGCAGAGGUAUGGGAGACGUAUUCACAAGCAGUCAUCACAUGCAUCAACAUCUAGGGCAAAUGAUGCCAAUGUGUGCAGUGAUCAAGGUGCAGUACAGUGUGAACAAAUGUGUGCUAGCGAGACUUCAGACUCUGAGGGUGAGGUUGACUCUGGAGGGGAACAAGAUGCAAAGCAAGAAUCGUCAGGCAUUGAAAGAUCAUUGACAGCUCACUCUUUUAUGAAAAAAAAACCUCAUUAAACUGCUCGUAAGCUAUGGGAUGAAGUGCAUGUCCAUGGAGUUUUUGGUCGACAAUAAGAUGCCUAUUGUGUGGUGAGGACUCAUAGUCAUGUCUGCCAUUGAGAAACUGCUUAGGCAGGCUCAAACCUACAAGGACAUAGCCCAAAAAAAUUACCCCGAAGUUACCAGUUUGAGUAAACUUUAACUAGCAAUGCUUUGAGCAUGUAGUUAUCACUGCACCAACAAGUACAAAUCUGUCAUGCUUGUAAAUGGCAGUAGAAAGCAUUUAGAAUUUCUAGCAUAUGUUAGAAAAGUUAGUUGUAACUGGAACAGUGAUUCUGCUUUUGCAGGUGUGUGAUUUUGCCGAGAUGUAUGGCACCUGGGUGUCAGUGUCGUAAGGAUGUGCCAUGCCAAUGUUGGUGAAUAAUUAUGUAUGUUAAUGUGGCAAUGCUUGCAGUAGAUUAUGAGUAGCGAAGCUCAGCAAAGCCAAUACAGGAAUUCGUCUGAUCAAAAGGUUGAGAGAAGACCCUCAAUUUCUUUUUCGCCAAUACAGCUUUCAAGAACUUUACCGGGGAAUUUCUUUUUUGAAGCUCCAAACAAGAAUUUGAGAAAGUUAGUUUAUCUUGGAUUACUAUAUUCUGCUCUGCAUUGUGAAUGUAAAUUCUAACGAUUGGCAUGUGGGGUUUGAUGCUGACCCAAAGUAACAAGGGAGUUAUGCAAUAUACACUGUGGUAGCUGCAGCAAGAGGGUUCCGUAUUUAUUUUCACCACCCGAGUUCUUUAUGUGCUCCUGAUGCUUGGUAUUUGGGUGUUAUUGCACUCUGCCCCCAUUGGAAGGCAGCUUCUGCAGCAAGGUGCGAGACCGGGCUAGUUGAUAUUCCAUGAUGAUGUAACCAGCCCGAGAGGCAGUGCCUAUUGCAGGAGGCAACUUUGUUAGUAAACCGUCCUUAGCGUUGACUGGGGUCUGCAAGCGGGGGGCCACCUUAGGCCUUCACGCACUCUUGUUGAUUUGUGGUGCUUACAUUAACUUACACAAGUAUAUCUGGUUGUAAUCACGUGCAUGAAGUUGUAUAUUUAUGCCUUUUUGUAAUAAAUACCAGUUGGAAGUCA